UUAGAUGACAUGGGGGUGAGUAAAUUAUCAGGAAAUUUUAAUUUAAAAGUGGACUAAUCCUUUAAACGGGCUCUGCAGCGUUUUUGAAAGAAUCCAUUUUCGAGGGUCGAAAAUGCCGGAGUAGUGUAAACGACAAGCGUAACUGUAGCAAAAGUUAUGCGUUUUAAAAUGAAAACGCACUAGUGUAAGCAAGGCCUACAACAGUGCCCCCACUAAAUAAAUAUAGCAUUCUACCGGGCGGGCACCUGGAGGAGGCUUCUGCUGCUAUGGAGGCAGCUGCACGGAGUAGCAUCUGCCUGCACAACCGGAGGCUGCAUUUUCAGGACCGCAGUCCUAGGACCGCAUUUCUAGGACCCUAGAUGUUUAGUGACAACGCCACCUACCGAAUUACAGGACCAGUGACCGCAUGUUUUUCUGGAAGAUGGACGAUAUUCAGAGUAAACACAUAACAAUCCAAGAAGGAAGAUCCUUUCCUGGACUAAAGAGAUGCACUACAUGCUGAAAGGAGUUCCUCUGCCCGUUCUGCAGUUCUGCUUUGUUUCACCCAACAAAGUGGAGCAAAGUGAAAUCCCAUUUGGAGAGCCAUUUCAAACGCGCAGUUCUCUAUGAAAACCAUCAUAUAUGGCCUGGCUUUGCUGCAGAAUUUCUCUGCGGGAUGCUGAGAAGGCCUUCUUCUCUGGUCCGGAUUAUCAUCACAGUGAAGUGGAAGAAUUUAAUAGAGUGAGAGAGAAACAAUUGAGAAAAGUGGGGAGAACAUCCAAUUGGAGUCAGUGAAGACGUUGUCACUGAAGUUCUUUCUGUGUGGUUCACGUCACGAACAAAUUUGUUUUUGUGUGUUCAACUGUUGUAAUAUAUUAUUUUAUAAAAUAUACACAAUCUUAAAUAUA
Long non-coding RNA from Ctenopharyngodon idella (grass carp), 887 nucleotides. RefSeq lists it as uncharacterized. The transcript is spliced from 5 exons. The record is from RefSeq and is a predicted model, not a curated record. Lineage: Eukaryota; Metazoa; Chordata; Actinopteri; Cypriniformes; Xenocyprididae.